Molecule: signal recognition particle RNA, 269 nt
Filed under: Planctomycetota bacterium
Lineage: Bacteria; Pseudomonadati; Planctomycetota
Description: Planctomycetes bacterium signal recognition particle sRNA large type
Rfam family: Bacterial large signal recognition particle RNA
About the family: The signal recognition particle (SRP) is a universally conserved ribonucleoprotein involved in the co-translational targeting of proteins to membranes. Archaeal SRP consists of a 7S RNA and homologues of the eukaryotic SRP19 and SRP54 proteins.
Source: RNAcentral
CUGUGCUAGGCGGGGGGGUACCGGUCCCCUCGACCUCCAAAUCCGGUUAUGGGAGGGCCGAACGGCUCUCAUGAGGCUCGCCAGGCUGCUGAAGACAUAUUGCUAUGGCGUUGACAGCCGAUAGCCUUGGCAUAGUUCCGGCUCUGAACCUGGUCAGGCCCGAAAGGGAGCAGCCAUAAGGAGUUACGGGCUAGUGUGAAGUGUCUGUCGGCCGAGUCCUCUGGCAAUAUGCUCUGCUGAUGGCCGGAGUCGAAGAGAGCCUCGCACAG